GUGCUCAUUUCAGCAGCAUAUGUACUAAAAUUGGAAUGGUAUGGAGAAAAUUAGCAUGGCCCCUGCACAAGAAUGACAUGCAUAGUCUGGAAGCAUUUCUUAUUUUG
Small nuclear RNA from Manis javanica (Malayan pangolin), 107 nucleotides. NCBI's taxonomy places the organism in Eukaryota, Metazoa, Chordata, Mammalia, Pholidota, Manidae. The record is from RefSeq and is a predicted model, not a curated record.